CUUUAGCACCAAGUAUUAAAGGUGACGCCUGCCCAGUGAUUAUUUAAACGGCCGCGGGAUCCUCCACCGUGCAAAGGUAGCAUAAUCACUUGUCCCCUAAAUAGUGACUAGUAUGAACGGCCUAAUGAAGAUUUAACUGUCUCUUAUAACUGAUCUAUGAAACUAAUCUAUCAGUACAAAAACUGAAAUAUUUACAUAAGACGAAAAGACCCUGUGGAACUUCAAGCACACCUCAACCACAAUGAUUCAUCUGCUUUUAGUUGGGGCAACUUUGGAAUAAAACAAAACUUCCAACACUUUAAUGGUCCACACACCUAUCUUUUUUUCCCGGACCCAGUCCUACUGAUUAAAGAACCAAGCUACCCCAGGGAUAACAGCGCCAUCCCCUCCAAGAGCCCAAAUCGACGAGCGGGGUUUACGACCUCGAUGUUGGAUCAGGGCCCCCAAACAGUGCAACAGCUGUUAAAGGUUUGUUUGUUCAACAAUUAAAGC
Molecule: ribosomal RNA, 492 nt
Filed under: Andinosaura kiziriani
Lineage: Eukaryota; Metazoa; Chordata; Lepidosauria; Squamata; Gymnophthalmidae
Description: partial 16S ribosomal RNA
Rfam family: Bacterial large subunit ribosomal RNA
Source: RNAcentral